This 69-nucleotide transfer RNA is filed under the name Dipodomys ordii (Ord's kangaroo rat). It matches the Rfam family "tRNA". From Rfam's summary of the family: Transfer RNA (tRNA) molecules are approximately 80 nucleotides in length. Their secondary structure includes four short double-helical elements and three loops (D, anti-codon, and T loops). Further hydrogen bonds mediate the characteristic L-shaped molecular structure. tRNAs have two regions of fundamental functional importance: the anti-codon, which is responsible for specific mRNA codon recognition, and the 3' end, to which the tRNAs corresponding amino acid is attached (by aminoacyl-tRNA synthetases). tRNAs cope with the degeneracy of the genetic code in two manners: having more than one tRNA (with a specific anti-codon) for a particular amino acid; and 'wobble' base-pairing, i.e. permitting non-standard base-pairing at the 3rd anti-codon position. The record is from Rfam by way of RNAcentral. Lineage: Eukaryota; Metazoa; Chordata; Mammalia; Rodentia; Heteromyidae.
GGGGAUAUGGCUUAGUGGUAGAGUGCUUGCCUAGCAUGCAUGAAGCCCCAGGUUUAAUUCCUAGUACCA